This 347-nucleotide unclassified non-coding RNA is filed under the name soil metagenome. RNAcentral describes it as "partial contains 5.8S ribosomal RNA, internal transcribed spacer 2, and large subunit ribosomal RNA". The stretch from base 1 to 120 matches the Rfam family "5.8S ribosomal RNA", at positions 35 to 154 of the family's 154-position model. The record is from RNAcentral.
GAUGAAGAACGUAGCGAAAUGCGAUAAGUAAUGUGAAUUGCAGAAUUCAGUGAAUCAUCGAAUCUUUGAACGCACAUUGCGCCCAUCAGUAUUCUGUUGGGCAUGCCUGUCCGAGCGUCAUUUCAACCCUCAGGGCCCGUUCGCGGGAACUGGUGUUGGGGAUCGGCCUCCCCCCGGAGGCCGGCCCCGAAAUGCAGUGGCGGCUCUACCGCGAUCUCCUCUGUGUAGUAGCGAUACCUCGCAGCUGGAUAGUGGUGGUGCCACGCCGUAAAAUCCCAACUUUACCAAGGUUGACCUCGGAUCAGGUAGGAAUACCCGCUGAACUUAAGCAUAUCAAAAGCGGAGGA